RNAcentral lists this ribosomal RNA (460 nucleotides) under uncultured bacterium. RNAcentral's name for it is "partial 16S ribosomal RNA". It matches the Rfam family "Bacterial small subunit ribosomal RNA", at positions 338 to 795 of the family's 1533-position model. The record is from RNAcentral.
CCUACGGGAGGCAGCAGUGAGGAAUAUUGGUCAAUGGGCGAGAGCCUGAACCAGCCAAGUCGCGUGAAGGAUGAAGGAUCUAUGGUUUGUAAACUUCUUUUAUAAAGGAAUAAAACGAGGCACGUGUGCCUUUUUGCAUGUACUUUAUGAAUAAGGAUCGGCUAACUCCGUGCCAGCAGCCGCGGUAAUACGGAGGAUCCGAGCGUUAUCCGGAUUUAUGGGGUUUAAAGGGAGCGUAGAUGGGUUGUUAAGUCAGUUGUGAAAGUUUGCGGCUCAACCGUAAAAUUGCAAUUGAUACUGGCAGUCUUGAGUACAGUUGCGGUCGGCGGAAUUCGUUGUGUAGCGGUGACAUGCUUAGAUAUCACGAAGAACCCCGAUUGCGACGGCAGCUUACUAAACUGUGACUGACAUUGAUGCUCGAAAGUGUGGGUAUCAAACAGGAUUAGAUACCCCGGUAGUC